RNAcentral lists this transfer RNA (82 nucleotides) under Bacteriophage sp. RNAcentral's name for it is "tRNA-Leu". It matches the Rfam family "tRNA". From Rfam's summary of the family: Transfer RNA (tRNA) molecules are approximately 80 nucleotides in length. Their secondary structure includes four short double-helical elements and three loops (D, anti-codon, and T loops). Further hydrogen bonds mediate the characteristic L-shaped molecular structure. tRNAs have two regions of fundamental functional importance: the anti-codon, which is responsible for specific mRNA codon recognition, and the 3' end, to which the tRNAs corresponding amino acid is attached (by aminoacyl-tRNA synthetases). tRNAs cope with the degeneracy of the genetic code in two manners: having more than one tRNA (with a specific anti-codon) for a particular amino acid; and 'wobble' base-pairing, i.e. permitting non-standard base-pairing at the 3rd anti-codon position. The record is from RNAcentral. RNAcentral also lists the same sequence under 1 other name.
GUGCCUAUGGCGAAAAUGGUAUACGCAGCGGGUUUAAGCCCCGCUUCCAUAUGGAAUAAGGGUUCUAAUCCCUUUAGGCACA